CUUUUGCGGAUUUCUUCGGAUUGAAGCAAUUGUGACUGAGCGGCGGACGGGUGAGUAACGCGUGGGUAACCUGCCUCAUACAGGGGGAUAACAGUUGGAAACGGCUGCUAAUACCGCAUAAGCGCACAGUACCGCAUGGUCCGGUGUGAAAAACUCCGGUGGUAUAGGAUGGACCCGCGUUGGAUUAGCCAGUUGGCAGGGUAACGGCCUACCAAGGCGACGAUCAGUAGCCGACCUGAGAGGGUGACCGGCCACAUUGGGACUGAGACACGGUCCAAACUCC
This 283-nucleotide ribosomal RNA is filed under the name uncultured Eubacteriales bacterium. RNAcentral's name for it is "uncultured Clostridiales bacterium partial 16S ribosomal RNA". The stretch from base 45 to 283 matches the Rfam family "Bacterial small subunit ribosomal RNA", at positions 100 to 339 of the family's 1533-position model. Lineage: Bacteria; Bacillati; Bacillota; Clostridia; Eubacteriales. The record is from RNAcentral.